GAUGAACGCUGGCGGCGUGCCUAAUACAUGCAAGUCGAGCGAGCAGACGAGGAGCUUGCUCCUCUGACGUUAGCGGCGGACGGGUGAGUAACACGUGGAUAACCUACCUAUAAGACUGGGAUAACUUCGGGAAACCGGAGCUAAUACCGGAUAAUAUAUUGAACCGCAUGGUUCAAUAGUGAAAGACGGUUUUGCUGUCACUUAUCGAUGGAUCCGCGCCGCAUUAGCUAGUUGGUAAGGUAACGGCUUACCAAGGCAACGAUGCGUAGCCGACCUGAGAGGGUGAUCGGCCACACUGGAACUGAGACACGGUCAAGACUCCUACGGGAGGCAGCAGUAGGGAAUCUUCCGCAAUGGGCGAAAGCCUGACGGAGCAACGCCGCGUGAGUGAUGAAGGUCUUCGGAUCGUAAAACUCUGUUAUUAGGGAAGAACAAAUGUGUAAGUAACUAUGCACGUCUUGACGGUACCUAAUCAGAAAGCCACGGCUAACUACGUG
Molecule: ribosomal RNA, 497 nt
Filed under: uncultured bacterium
Lineage: Bacteria
Description: partial 16S ribosomal RNA
Rfam family: Bacterial small subunit ribosomal RNA
Source: RNAcentral